UAGCACAGUCGGUAGAGCACCAGACUCUUAAUCUGGCUGUCGCGGGUUCGAGCCCCGC
This 58-nucleotide transfer RNA is filed under the name Pristionchus pacificus. It matches the Rfam family "tRNA", at positions 8 to 63 of the family's 71-position model. From Rfam's summary of the family: Transfer RNA (tRNA) molecules are approximately 80 nucleotides in length. Their secondary structure includes four short double-helical elements and three loops (D, anti-codon, and T loops). The record is from Rfam by way of RNAcentral. Lineage: Eukaryota; Metazoa; Nematoda; Chromadorea; Rhabditida; Neodiplogasteridae.